RNAcentral lists this unclassified non-coding RNA (225 nucleotides) under Hevea brasiliensis (rubber tree). The record is from RNAcentral. Lineage: Eukaryota; Viridiplantae; Streptophyta; Magnoliopsida; Malpighiales; Euphorbiaceae.
AGUUGUGAAGUGUACAAUUCUGGGUCAUUUCUGAAAUGAUCAACGUGAGGUGUAGAAACGAAGUUGCAAGCUCUAACAUUGCGACCAGUUCUUCGUUGCUCUUCAACAAAGGACUCAACCGAAACUGCAGGAAUGACUCUGUCGGAACUGCUGUAUAUGUAUAAUUGAGGGCAACUUGGUUGCCGGGAUGUUAAUAGAUCUAGAACGUCAGAAAGCCUCCUAUUU